CAGGUUCGGUUCGAUGGCGGCCAUGAAACGUCACUCGCACGUGCACCGCCGGGAGGCGCAACAUGACGAAGACUGGACCGCAGCCGCGGACGGCGACGUGGAGUACCUCGAGCUGGAGACCCUCGACGACGCCAGUGACUACCAGUAGGCACCAAUGAGCCAAACGGAUAUAUCACCAAACUGUAAUACAAUAUCUACUUUAUGACGAAACUCGUCUGUAAAUGUGCAGUAAUUCUCAUUAAUCAUGCAUUGACAAAGAAUAUAUGCAGUUUAAUUAGACAAAGCCCUUUAACCCGUGAAAACAUCUCCUUUCGGAAUUUCCUUUGUCCACGCUGGCGAAAGGCCUGUUAAAGUAGGUACGAAUACACAUUAUUGUAGAGAAAUAAAUUGUAACUAAAUAUUUUUGAAAUAAAGUGUUAUGAUUC
Molecule: long non-coding RNA, 425 nt
Organism: Zerene cesonia (dogface butterfly)
Lineage: Eukaryota; Metazoa; Arthropoda; Insecta; Lepidoptera; Pieridae
Exons: 2
Source: RefSeq, a predicted model, not a curated record